GAAAAGACAAAAAAAAAAAAGUCAGUAUCAAUAAUACACCAAAAUGCUCAUUAAUCUGAGAGUCUGAUGACCUAGCAGCUUAACCACAGUCGAUUUUAGUCAGAAGUGUCUGGAGGAAAAGAAAGAUAAAUCUACUUAAUUAUUAGCUCUAGGAAAAUUUCACUUCAUUUGAAGACAAUCUCAAUUUUGGAUCCUAUUUGGACAUGACUACCAUGGCCCUUCUGGGGUAAAACUGCCCUCUAGAAAGCUAUGGACUUGACGUGUGACCAACCUAAUUAAUGAAAAUGGCCUCUAACUUUAACCUACGACCAUGAAUGAUGCCUACCUACCUAUUUCAUAGCUUAAUGAGAUUAACAAGCCACUUCCUUUGGGAGGCCAAAGAAAGUCAGAAGCAAGAAUAUAUCCUCUGCUGUGGGCUGCCCUCCAUUUGAGUUAUGGACUGAGGUUUAGAUGGAUCAAGUAGAGGUCUGAGGAUUGGGACAGUUGUUUCCAUAACUGGUCAGCACACAUCAGAUUCUCCAAGAUGCAGACAACCCUACUGUCAUAAUGGGAUUUCGAUCUACAAGAACCUGUGUACUAAGUAAAUGCUGAGAUACAGACAAGGGGAUAAAAGGUCUAUAGAAUGCAGUCCCCGCCACCAAGGAGCUCACAGUCUGAUGGGUAAGACAACCUAUUUAUUAAUAAUCAUUAGUAAAUCAUUUAAAUUUAACCUGUUUUCAUUAAGAGAUAAACAAGGCACAAAAUUUGAGAGAGGAAAUAAUUAUCUGUCAGAAAUAGCAGGGAAAGCCUUACAGGGGAGGAUGGACUCUGAAGUACGAGUAGAAGUUCUCUGUGUGAAAAGGUUAAAGGGCAUUCUUGGCAGAGUGACAGCAUAUACAAAGGCAGAGAAGUUUAGACUACUGCCAUGUGUUCAGUAAGAGCUGCAAGAAGAUUGGAAGUUCAGCACAAGGCUGAAUUAAAACCUCAGGUUGCCUAUCUUUGAAGCACCUGCAUUUGAACAUAGAGAACACGUAGAUGCCUGAGUGGAUUGUUCUUGGGCUUCAUGGCCAUGGGUGGAGGGGUCACCCAUGAAAUUAAGCAUCCUGGAUUGUUUCUAAAGCAUAUUUGCGAAUGUGUUGCUGUGCCCAUACUGCCAGCCCCUUGGAUUAAUGACUAUCCCUGGAGAGAGGGCUCCAGGAUCAGGUUAAACUUUGGGAGAGUGUUGGAGAAGAAGGGAUGAGGGCUUCUGAUUCAGUUAAUACAGGAGUCAAAACUGGCAAGGUGAUUCUUUAGCCAUAAACCCCUGGAGUGGGUCUUAGUCACUUUUCUAAACAGGAAUAGCUCCAGAUCUUCUUAGACUAUAUGGGUUCUCUGUGUGGGUGGGCUAUGUACACUACACUGAAAACUUUAUUUUCACCAUUUUCUUCAGGUGUUGCAUUACUGCUAUGAAUAUAUGUGCACUGUACAUCACUCAGAGCACAUAAUCACAGAGUACUGCAAUGUAAGCAAAGACUAAGCAGUUUACCAUUAUCUUCCUGGUGAUAGAUGAACGUGAGGUGUGUAUGCAAUAGCAAAGCCUACAAGAUGACCUUGUGACAGAGAUUAAAUCAUACAUACUUCUAUGUAUUCAAAUGCCCACACCCCCACAUGGACCUGGGGGCCACCUGCACACAUACUCAACAUUUUACACUGGAUAGAAUUAUUUUAUUAUCACCUUUACCAGGUACUAAAAAGAUUUUAUGCCUGAAAUUGGUAGCAAAAGCAAAACCACAUUCAUCACUAUCUCCUCUUUUCAAAGAGACUUGGGUUUAAUAAAUAAAAGAGAGUAAAAAUUGCUUCUACCAAUUCAGGAUUUAAUACUAUAUACUCUGAAUCACUUGAUUCAGUUGUUUUUAAAGUUUAAGUUUUCUUACUAUCUAUCAUUCUGAAUAGUGAAUCUUUCCUUAGUAAAAUUACAAAAUGCAUGCUCAAUUUCUAAUGAAUUUCCUCUUAGUCUGGUUAGCCACUGAACUCAAUUUCUAUCACACAAGGUUUUCCUAGAAAUGACUGGAUUGUUAUUGGAGCCCAAAAUUGUUUAUUUUUAUUGAAGUAUAGUUGGUUUACAGUGUUGUGCCAAUUUCUUCUGUACAGCAAAGUGACCCAUUCAUACAUAUACAUAUAUUCUUUUUCUCAUACUAUCUUCCAUCAUGUUCUAUCCCAAGAGAUUGGAUAUAGUUCCCUAUGCUGUACAGUAGGACCUCAUUGCUUAUCCAUUCCAAAUGUAAUAGUUUGCAUCUGCCAACCCCAAACUCCUUGUCUAUCCCUCCUCUCUCCCCCAUAGUUCUCUGUUACUAUGUUUAUAUUUUGUAGAUAGGUUCAUAUGUGUCAUAUUUUAGGUUCAUUCGUGCCAUAUUUUAGAUUCCCCAUCUAAAUGAUAUAAUAUGGUAUUUGUCUUUCUCUUUCUGAUUAACUUCACUUAGUAUAAUAAUCUCUAGUUGCAUCCAUGUUGCUGUGAAUGGCAUUAUUUUGUUCUUUUUAUGGCUGAGUGGUGUUCCAUUGCAUAUAUGUACCACAUCUUCUUAAUCCAUUCAUCUGAUUUUCAAGAAUGAACUCAGACGUGCAAAAAUGUUUUCUAAAAUUAUACUUAGUUUUUUCCUGAAAAUCUAUUUGAUUGGAAAAAAAAUCAAGACCAGCCUCCUGGGCACCCACCUCUAUGUUCUUCUAGCUUCCCCUCCUUCUAUCUUCCCCCACCUCAGAAGGCUGGGUGAACACAAUCAACUUCCUAUCUAUAAUUACCCUACGUACACAUUUUGAUUUUUAAAAAUGCACUUCAAAAUGAAAGUGAAAUUGGAAAAGGCUAAAUUUAUUUUAGGUCAACUUUUUAUUUUAGUUAUACCUACCUGAAUAUUUUGAGAAUUGGUCCUAUUUACAAAUAGGCCAUUGCUGAGAUUUGUUGCUCUUUCUCAGGGAAAAUCAGCCACCAAUGUUUAGGUGAGUAGGUUGAUAACUGGGACACCAUAUAAGCAAAACAAACCACCCAGCAAUCAGCUAGACCAACCUCAAAGAUCAGUACAAAUGCCUCCAGAAAAAGAAAAGGAAAGAAGAGAAAAAGAAAAGAAAAAGCUUCUAGUUGCUUUCUAGAAGGUACUGAAAUAUCACUUCUGUUGAAAGGACACAUGAACUCUGAAUCUUACUGUCGUCCUGUUUGGUUUUUUUAUCAACCACUACUCAAUCUGUGGCUCCUAAACUUCAUGUUCUUUGAUUAACUCCUAAAACUGAUCUUCUGACCCAGAAAAGACAAUUAUAUUUCAUUCACAUGCUAGUCAGUUCAGUUAAGAGAAAAGAAGAGGUGCUCUGGGACUUUGGUUUCUGGCAAGUAGGGGCACUAGAUACUCUGACAAAAAUAAAUGGCCCAUUCCAAAAGAGCUGGAUGUGAGGUAAAUCACAACUUAAAACCAUGGCUGGGCUCACAAAGAUGAAACUCUCCAAGGUCAACAACAAACAAAAACAACAACAACAAAGUGGGGGUAAAUAAAAUGAGGGUAGCAAAUAAUCAAAUGCCUUUAUCAAGAAUUCAGCAAUUUGGAAUUAAUAGUUGGCCAUGCACCAAAUUGGUGAUUAGAAUUGCCCAGAUUUGAACAAAGCUUAAUCUAAGAACCUGUGAUGCUCUCUUCACCAACAUACACACAAAGUCUGAGCCUUAAAAUGGAUGAGUAAGCUCAGAAAAAAUAAAUACUAAUCUUCCUGCAGCAAAGGAGGUGAAAAGGAAAUCUGCCUGUCUCUGCCACAGCUGUUAGAAAGAAUAAUAAAAACCACACUUUUCUGUGUACAGGUGAUGAUGGACUUGCCCCUUGUAUUAUCCACAUGUCCAGAAGAAUGCAAACCAAAGAUUUAAGGUGUACAGAGUUGUUAGUACCCCUUGGCUUUUGUUGAAAGUCAACAUACAUCCUCUACAGAGGAAAACAGGGCAACCUUAG
RNAcentral lists this long non-coding RNA (3935 nucleotides) under Sus scrofa (pig). RNAcentral's name for it is "lncRNA (ENSSSCG00040057247.1)". The record is from RNAcentral. Lineage: Eukaryota; Metazoa; Chordata; Mammalia; Artiodactyla; Suidae.